GUAUAUAAACAUGCAGAAGAUGUGAAAACUUCACAAAGUUGGUCAAAAUCUACAUUUGUUUUAAACCGCUUCUGGCAGAUGUAGUCGCACAGUACGUUUGAAGUUUCUCCUUCAUAGCUGUUAAUAUUUUCGUGACGAGGAAAGAUAGCAGCUUGAUAGAAGACUUACUUCAUCCAUCAAGAGGUCAUCGACGGGGUUGCAUUCGAAGGCGUGGAAUAGAACGCCGAAGACGAUGAUAAAGGACAGUGAUACCUGGUUAAACAAUGAAGUGCCA
Long non-coding RNA from Ostrea edulis (European flat oyster), 274 nucleotides. RefSeq lists it as uncharacterized. Lineage: Eukaryota; Metazoa; Mollusca; Bivalvia; Ostreida; Ostreidae. The transcript is spliced from 3 exons. The record is from RefSeq and is a predicted model, not a curated record.